RNAcentral lists this long non-coding RNA (400 nucleotides) under Rhinopithecus bieti (black snub-nosed monkey). RNAcentral's name for it is "lncRNA (ENSRBIG00000045667.1)". Lineage: Eukaryota; Metazoa; Chordata; Mammalia; Primates; Cercopithecidae. The record is from RNAcentral.
GGGCGGCCUGCCUCGCCCUGCCUCCUCUCUUCCUCCUCCUUUCUUCUUCCUCCUCCCCUUCCUCCUCCUUCUUCUUCCUCUUCCUCUUCCUCUCUCCUCUCUCUCUCUUUUCCUCUCCCCGCCACUCUCGCACUCCCCAUCCUCCUCUCUCCCCUCCCUUCGCAGAGCCACAGGAAAAGAGGAAAGUCGGCUUCGACUGCCAUCUUUUGGGGAUUUGGAAAAACGACUCGGUAGUGCUGUCCUCAGUCUCUGGGGGCAUACUUCUUUCCCGAUCUGGCACAAACGACCCCUCAGGGCUUAAAGACUUGCGAAUGAUGGAUGAUCAAGCUCUGGACCCAUGUUGAAAGCAGACUUCUGUGCGAGAAAACAGAGGAAAAAUUUCUUAUCACUCUGAUUGAGG